This 216-nucleotide long non-coding RNA is filed under the name Malus domestica (apple). RNAcentral's name for it is "long non-coding RNA (MDOM_LNC020373)". Lineage: Eukaryota; Viridiplantae; Streptophyta; Magnoliopsida; Rosales; Rosaceae. The record is from RNAcentral.
GCGGUCAUAUCAUUCUUCAUCACAGAAUCCCCAACGGUAAGAGGACCAGUAGGGGAUAUGAAGGAUGGGCACCAUAUGUUGUCUGGAGAAGGCGUGGCUGUCUCUUCUCCAAGGUUCAGGUCAAAACGACGGUCGGAGGGUCCAAACAUUUUCAAAUGUGUUGAAGAAGGAAGAGGUCAGACAAAUCAAGAUCUUAGAAGUGCAAGAAAUGAGCUU